AACUUUAGUCGCUAAAUGA
This 19-nucleotide small nuclear RNA is filed under the name Arabidopsis thaliana (thale cress). RNAcentral's name for it is "snRNA_16554". Lineage: Eukaryota; Viridiplantae; Streptophyta; Magnoliopsida; Brassicales; Brassicaceae. The record is from RNAcentral.